AUCUACGGCCAUACCACUCUGAACGCAGCCGAUCUCGUCUGAUCUCGGAAGCUAAGCAGGGUCGGGCCUGGUUAGUACAUGGACGGGAGGAAGUAAAAAGGCUGAACAGGUAACUUAAAAUG
Molecule: ribosomal RNA, 122 nt
Filed under: Microcebus murinus (gray mouse lemur)
Lineage: Eukaryota; Metazoa; Chordata; Mammalia; Primates; Cheirogaleidae
Source: RNAcentral